Molecule: long non-coding RNA, 679 nt
Filed under: Brachypodium distachyon (stiff brome)
Lineage: Eukaryota; Viridiplantae; Streptophyta; Magnoliopsida; Poales; Poaceae
Description: long non-coding RNA (BDIS_LNC002906)
Source: RNAcentral
CGGACAGAGAGAGUAUAACAAACAACAUCAUUCCAGCAAACUACAUAAACCAUUAGAUGAGGCAGCCGUAAGUUCCGACCAUUACGAUUAGAUGAGCUCUAGUCUCGAUCUAGCUAGACAACCUGGGCAAUCAGUUACUAUUUACCGAAAAGAAUGGUGAUGCUAGCUCCUGCGAGGACAAGGGGGCAGAGGACACUUCAGUAUUAUUACAACCGUUGCUAAAUAUUAGACGUUCAAACUUUGUCCUAAGUAAAACUUACUAUGAAAUAAAUAUACCAUAACGGAUUUAAUAGAAGUAAUUUAGAGGUAUAUAUAUGUCGAUAGAUUUUUCUAUAAACUCAGUCAAUUUUAAAAAAAUUUGACUAGGACAAAACUAGAACAUCUUAUAUUUAGGUUCAGAUGAAGUAUACUAUGUAAAACGAGAAAAAAAAAGGCAUUUGAAUAAGAAAGUAAAAAAAACAUUUCUUCCGAUUUAUGUUACUGAUGAGGUUAUCUUUUGUAUGACUAUUCAUUGAUGAAGAAACAUACCACAUGAAUCUUAAUUUUCAAUGAAACAAUGAGUUCGUACCGCCUUGGUAAGCAGUAGCUGGGUAAAGUAACUUUACCGAGAAUACAUGUUUUUGGCAAAUGUCAUACCCCAAAAAAGUCGAGUUUCAUUCAAACUUAUAGAGAUUUAGAG